UUUCUCAAGAGCAUGUUCUGUCACACUUUCCACACUGCCUUCCCCAAAUUCACUCUGCUCAAGUCCCCCACUCCAUCCUCGUGCCUCCACACAGUCUGUAGAUAAUGCUGUACUUUAUUUCAUCACGAAAAUACAAGCACUGAGUUGAUACUGCUUCAUCCUCUGAACACUCCCUACCUAUAAACCAAUCUAUAUUCCCAUCCAUAGCUUCUUUCAUUCCCAAAUUAGUGAAAAAGGUAUCUUUCUUCCCAAGUAAGGUAAAUCCGUCCCUCAUCUUGUGCUCAGGAUUCCUUCUCAUUCGGCCUCCCCAUGGAUCAUUCUAACACUGUCUCAACUCUUCAAUUUCUCUGACUUGUUCUACACCUGCCCAGCACUUAAAGUAUCUGGCCAAAUGAAUACAUGCAGGAGAUGAAAUAUGGAGAAAGAACAAAAGGACUAAUUCCACUUGUGAGAGAUGAAGGAACAGGAGCACUCUCAUGUUUCUUAGGUCACACACCAAGAAAGAGGAGACAUGAGAUUAAACCCACGUUUUCUAACUCUGGGCUCAUUUUGGUGACGUCAGGUGAUUUGGGUGAGAAUCCCAGUUCCAGCGAUCUCAGCAUGACUGACUGGAAUAUGUGAGUGAUAUUACAGCUUCAGCAACCUUCUUGAAUCAUGAAAAGAAGAGAAGCAAAGUGGGUGGAGAAAGAAGAUAGGAAGAGUCUGAUCCUUGACACUUUGGAGCACCACACGAGUCCUAGACUGACUAGCUACAGACUUUUUGCCUAUGAGGAAGAAAUAAACUUCUAUUUCACCU
Long non-coding RNA from Homo sapiens (human), 796 nucleotides. Ensembl annotates it as GNG12, DIRAS3 and WLS antisense RNA 1. Its record names the gene GNG12-AS1. Lineage: Eukaryota; Metazoa; Chordata; Mammalia; Primates; Hominidae. The record is from Ensembl.